Molecule: ribosomal RNA, 468 nt
Filed under: uncultured bacterium
Lineage: Bacteria
Description: partial 16S ribosomal RNA
Rfam family: Bacterial small subunit ribosomal RNA
Source: RNAcentral
GGCGAACGCUGGCGGCGUGCUUAACACAUGCAAGUCGAACGGAAAGGCCCUGCUUUUGUGGGGUGCUCGAGUGGCGAACGGGUGAGUAACACGUGAGUAACCUGCCCUUGACUUUGGGAUAACUUCAGGAAACUGGGGCUAAUACCGGAUAGGAGCUCCUGCUGCAUGGUGGGGGUUGGAAAGUUUCGGCGGUUGGGGAUGGACUCGCGGCUUAUCAGCUUGUUGGUGGGGUAGUGGCUUACCAAGGCUUUGACGGGUAGCCGGCCUGAGAGGGUGACCGGCCACAUUAGGACUGAGAUACGGCCCAGCCUCCUACGGGAGGCAGCAGUGGGGAAGAUUGCACAAUGGGAGGAAGCCUGAUGCAGCAACGCCGCGUGCGGGAUGACGGCCUUCGGGUUGUAAACCGCUUUCGCCUGUGACGAAGCGUGAGUGACGGUAAUGGGUAAAGAAGCACCGGCUAACUACGUG